This 253-nucleotide ribosomal RNA is filed under the name uncultured bacterium. Its description in RNAcentral is "partial 16S ribosomal RNA". It matches the Rfam family "Bacterial small subunit ribosomal RNA", at positions 524 to 776 of the family's 1533-position model. The record is from RNAcentral.
UACGUGGGGGGCAAGCGUUGUUCGGAAUUAUUGGGCGUAAAGGGCUCGUAGGCGGCCAACUAAGUCAUACGUGAAAUCCCUCGGCUUAACCGGGGAACUGCGUCUGAUACUGGAUGGCUUGAGAUUGGGAGAGGGAUGCGGAAUUCCAGGUGUAGCGGUGAAAUGCGUAGAUAUCUGGAGGAACACCGGUGGCGAAGGCGGCAUCCUGGACCAACACUGACGCUGAGGAGCGAAAGCCAGGGGAGCAAACGGG